CCUACGGGGAGCAGCAGUGGGGAAUAUUGGACAAUGGGCGAAAGCCUGAUCCAGCCAUGCCGCGUGUGUGAAGAAGGCCUUCGGGUUGUAAAGCACUUUCAGUGGGGAAGAAAGCCUUGGGGCUAAUACCCUCGAGGAAGGACAUCACCCACAGAAGAAGCACCGGCUAACUCCGUGCCAGCAGCCGCGGUAAUACGGAGGGUGCGAGCGUUAAUCGGAAUUACUGGGCGUAAAGCGCGCGUAGGCGGUCUGAUAAGCCGGUUGUGAAAGCCCUGGGCUCAACCUGGGAACGGCAUCCGGAACUGUCAGGCUAGAGUGCAGGAGAGGAAGGUAGAAUUCCCGGUGUAGCGGUGAAAUGCGUAGAGAUCGGGAGGAAUACCAGUGGCGAAGGCGGCCUUCUGGACUGACACUGACGCUGAGGUGCGAAAGCGUGGGUAGCAAACAGGAUUAGAUACCCUUGUAGUC
This 465-nucleotide ribosomal RNA is filed under the name Vreelandella stevensii. RNAcentral describes it as "partial 16S ribosomal RNA". It matches the Rfam family "Bacterial small subunit ribosomal RNA", at positions 338 to 795 of the family's 1533-position model. The record is from RNAcentral. Lineage: Bacteria; Pseudomonadati; Pseudomonadota; Gammaproteobacteria; Oceanospirillales; Halomonadaceae.